CGAAGGGUGCUAGCGUUGUUCGGAAUUACUGGGCGUAAAGGGUGCGUAGGUUGUAUGGUUAGUUAGUGGUGAAAGCCCAGGGCUUAACUCUGGAAUUGCCAUUAAAACUGCCAUGCUAGAGAGUGUUAGAGGUAAGUGGAAUUCCUAGUGUAGGAGUGAAAUCCGUAGAUAUUAGGAGGAACAUCAAUGGCGAAGGCAGCUUACUGGGUCACAUCUGACACUGAGGCACGAAAGCGUGGGUAGCAAACAGGAUUAGAUACCCUGGUAGUCCACGCCCUAAACGAUGGAUGCUAAAUGUCGGGACAUUAGUUUCGGCGUUGUAGUUAACGCGUUAAGCAUCCCGCCUGGGGAGUACGGUCGCAAGAUUA
This 368-nucleotide ribosomal RNA is filed under the name uncultured organism. Its description in RNAcentral is "bacterial SSU rRNA". It matches the Rfam family "Bacterial small subunit ribosomal RNA", at positions 526 to 896 of the family's 1533-position model. The record is from RNAcentral.